RNAcentral lists this ribosomal RNA (253 nucleotides) under uncultured bacterium. RNAcentral describes it as "partial 16S ribosomal RNA". It matches the Rfam family "Bacterial small subunit ribosomal RNA", at positions 524 to 776 of the family's 1533-position model. The record is from RNAcentral.
UACGAACCGUGCGAACGUUGUUCGGAUUCACUGGGCUUAAAGGGCGCGUAGGCGGGUGAUCAAGUCCGGGGUGAAAUCCUUCAGCUCAACUGGAGAAUUGCCUUGGAUACUGGUCGCCUCGAGGGAGGUAGGGGCGGGCGGAACUUCCGGUGGAGCGGUGAAAUGCGUAGAUAUCGGGAGGAACACCAGUGGCGAAGGCGACUUCCUGGCCUGUUCUUGACGCUGAGGCGCGAAAGCUAGGGUAGCAAACGGG